This 454-nucleotide ribosomal RNA is filed under the name uncultured bacterium. Its description in RNAcentral is "partial 16S ribosomal RNA". It matches the Rfam family "Bacterial small subunit ribosomal RNA", at positions 28 to 507 of the family's 1533-position model. The record is from RNAcentral.
GAUGAACGCUGACAGAAUGCUUAACACAUGCAAGUCAACUUGAACUUCGGUUUGGGUGGCGGACGGGUGAGUAACGCGUAAAGAACUUGCCUCACAGAUAGGGACAACAUUUGGAAACGAAUGCUAAUACCUGAUAUUAUGAUUAUAUGGCAUCGUAUAAUUAUGAAAGCUAUAUGCGCUGUGAGAGAGCUUUGCGUCCCAUUAGCUAGUUGGAGAGGUAACGGCUCACCAAGGCGAUGAUGGGUAGCCGGCCUGAGAGGGUGAUCGGCCACAAGGGGACUGAGACACGGCCCUUACUCCUACGGGAGGCAAGAGUGGGGAAUAUUGGACAAUGGACCAAGAGUCUGAUCCAGCAAUUCUGUGUGCACGAUGAAGUUUUUCGGAAUGUAAAGUGCUUUCAGUUGGGAAGAAAAAAAUGACGGUACCAACAGAAGAAGUGACGGCUAAAUACGUG